AAUACGUUCCCGGGCCUUGUACACACCGCCCGUCACGCCAUGGAAGUUGGUAGAGCCUGAAGAUACCCCUCGGGGCGUUUAUGGCAUUACCGAUGACUGGGGUG
Molecule: ribosomal RNA, 104 nt
Filed under: uncultured bacterium
Lineage: Bacteria
Description: partial 16S ribosomal RNA
Rfam family: Bacterial small subunit ribosomal RNA
Source: RNAcentral